GCCAUGUUGAUUAGACUCCAAUCGUACUUGUGUUGUCUUCGAUUAUCAAUGAGAAGUAUCUGAGGUUGUCAUCCGUGGAAGUAGACAUUGUUUGGUCGAACCAUGUAAAUUCUUGUGUGUUGUUUACUUUCUGCAUCUUUGUUUGUUGUUGCUUGUUCAUACUUGUUGUGGUUGCAUUUGGGUGUUCUCACAUGCUUUAAUAGAUAGACACACUGUGG
This 218-nucleotide unclassified non-coding RNA is filed under the name Hevea brasiliensis (rubber tree). Lineage: Eukaryota; Viridiplantae; Streptophyta; Magnoliopsida; Malpighiales; Euphorbiaceae. The record is from RNAcentral.